This 247-nucleotide ribosomal RNA is filed under the name uncultured bacterium. Its description in RNAcentral is "partial 16S ribosomal RNA". It matches the Rfam family "Bacterial small subunit ribosomal RNA", at positions 91 to 334 of the family's 1533-position model. The record is from RNAcentral.
AUUAGUGGCGAACGGGUGAGUAAUACGUGAGUAACCUACCUUUAACUCUGGGAUAAGCCUGGGAAACUGGGUCUAAUACCGGAUACGACCAAUCUCCGCAUGGGGUGUUGGUGGAAAGCGUUAUGUAGUGGUUAUAGAUGGGCUCACGGCCUAUCAGCUUGUUGGUGAGGUAACGGCUCACCAAGGCGACGACGGGUAGCCGGCCUGAGAGGGUGACCGGCCACACUGGGACUGGGACACGGCCCAG